RNAcentral lists this long non-coding RNA (2019 nucleotides) under Oreochromis niloticus (Nile tilapia). RNAcentral describes it as "lncRNA (ENSONIG00000039396.1)". The record is from RNAcentral. Lineage: Eukaryota; Metazoa; Chordata; Actinopteri; Cichliformes; Cichlidae.
GUUCAGAGGUCGUUCACCAGAGAAGAUUUUAAAUUGUUCUGGUUAAAUUGACUGUUACGAUUGAUCAGAAUAGGAUAAAUGUUACCUUUUAAUAAAGAAGGAAUUAAGUCUUUUUUCAUUUAACUAUAUAUGUAUUUUUCAAUUGAUUAAAAUUAAAACCUAACACUGUGCCAGCUUCUAGCUUUUCUUGCCACUGUGUAGAAUAAACCUGAUGACACAGACAUCUAGAAAACUUAAAAACCAACGAAACACAUCCAAAGUUUGAGGGCUGUGGGAAAAAUCAACCGACUGAGCUUAAAAAAACAAAACAUCUGCAAACCUGUGUGGUUAUUAGAGUGAACACAGCAGUCGCGGGCGAUCGUGGCUCAAGAGUUGGGAGUUCGUCUUGUAAUCGGAAGGUUGCUGGUUCGAGCCCCGGCUCUGACAGUCUCGGUCGUUGUGUCCUUGGGCAAGACACUUCACCCGUUGCCUACUGGUGGUGGUCAGAGGGCCCGGUGGCGCCAGUGUCCGGCAGCCUCGCCUCUGUCAGUGCGCCCCAGGGCAGCAGUGGCUACAAUGCAGCUUGCCAUCACCAGUGUGUGUGAAUGGGUGAAAGGGUGAAUUACUGAAUGUAAUUACGGACUAAGUAAAGUGCUAUACAAAUACAGGCCAUUUACCAUAUCAUGAAUGUUAACAGAGGGAGAAUUUUGCUGAAGCACACUGAUCACUACAGUCACAGCUUGUUAUGUGUGCCUAUGCCAAGAGGCACACAUAUUACUAUUCGUCGGAUUUAUUAUUAUAUUAUUAUUGUGUGGAUGCUGGAGGCAUCCACACUAUUGAGUUCCUGUUUCUCUUUAUUCUUUAUUAUUAUUAUUGUGUGGAUGCUGGAGGCAUCCACACUAUUGAGUUCCUGUUUCUCUUUAUUCUUUAUUGUGUGGAUGCUUUAAGGCAUCCACACUAUUGUUUUCCUGUUUCUCUUUAUUGUGUGGAUGCCCUUACAGCCAUCAUUUUACCCUCAAAACGAGCCAUCGUUCUUCUCUUUCCAACAGCGUGUCUUUCAAAGCUCAGAGAUGUAAACCUUUAAACUGUGUGGAUCCAAGUGGAGGGAUCACAUUUUAGUCAUUCAGUGAUUCAAAGAAUAUGAACUUUUAAUAUUCAUUCAGAUGUUUUCUGACUCUAAAUUUUCUUUUCUCAUUCUUAGGUUUUCUAAUUUACAUUUAAAACUUUUCAGCUAUUUUCCAACUUCUUCUGUGUGUCAGCUUUUAGCAGUUCAGCACUUUUGUUUUCAGGUGCAAAUUUCUGUAUUUUUCAUCUCAUUCAACAUUUUUAACUUAAAAUUCAGCAAUUAAUUCUUUCAGUGCAUAUAUUCAGAUUCAAGCAUUCACACUGCAGUUUCUUCAGAAAAUGCACUUUCUAGUUAUUAUUAUAUUUAUUAUAUAUUCCGUACGUUUUUUGUAUCUAUCUCCUUCAAAACCGUUCAACUUAGAAAAACCAUUCAAACACCGUUAGAUUCCUCUUCUUUGGACAUGACUGCUUCUAUUUUUCUCAUUUUAACAUUUAUAUUUUUAAUUUAUUCAACUUUUUUCAACAAAAAUUUCCCAUGUAUUUCAAUGGGGAGACCCUUCAAAUCCUCAUUCAACUUACUCAUUUUAAACUGUAUCUACUUCACAUACGUUGACAUAGAGCCACCAUUCAAACUUUAAAACGAAGACAAGACAUUCAACUAUUCAACUUGUAUUUAUCUUUUCAAUAUCUGUUAUACUUUUUCUUCAGUUCCAGUUUAAGUUUCAUGAUGUUUUUUCAGCCGUUUCAGAGUUUAUAAUGGGUGUGUAUGGGACGGAAUGUUGGGCUAGAGUGAGACAGCUCAACUGCUAGAGUGAGAGGAGCAAAAAAUUAAUCUUAAAAUUUUUUAAAACUGCUGCUGUGUCCACGGUUUGUCUACAGGUAUGAUUUUACCCUCAAAACGUAGCCAUCGCUGUCCUCUUUCAUCCAAUGUGUUUACUAUUGUACUAGGUGUUAUGGUUCUUUCAUAAAUGUCAC